Coregonus clupeaformis (lake whitefish) is the source of this 420-nucleotide long non-coding RNA. RefSeq lists it as uncharacterized. The record is from RefSeq and is a predicted model, not a curated record. NCBI's taxonomy places the organism in Eukaryota, Metazoa, Chordata, Actinopteri, Salmoniformes, Salmonidae. The transcript has 3 exons.
GGUAACAGCAUCUCUAACGUUUGUUUGCGGAUGGCGAUAAUAUUAUAGAAGAAGAGCCACAAUAACAACACAGCUCGUUUGCCUUCACAGCAAAGAACCUCCUGGUUUUCACCAAUCAGCGUGCCAGAAUGGACAUUUGGACUCUGACCCCUCCAACCCAAGGUCAGAGUGUUUUAGUCGUCAGAAGAAGAAGACUCAAGUUGAUUGUGUUUACUAGGAAGAUUGAGCAUCUAAGAAAGUACAUCACGUGCUGCCGCCUAGAGAGAGAUGUUAAUAUACAUCAGUGGAGGCUGCUGAGGGGAGGACGGCUCAUAAUAAUGGCUGGUUGGCACCAGACACAGAUCAGGCUUCGGGACAAGUCUCUGAAUGUCCUUGAGUGGCCCUGCCAGAGCCCGGACUUGAACCCGAUCGAACAUCUCU